Molecule: ribosomal RNA, 938 nt
Filed under: uncultured fungus
Lineage: Eukaryota; Fungi
Description: partial 18S ribosomal RNA
Rfam family: Eukaryotic small subunit ribosomal RNA
Source: RNAcentral
GUGCCAGCAGCCUCGGUGAUUCCAGCUCCAAUAGCGUAUAUUAAAGGUGUUGUGGGGGGGGAAGCUCGUAGUUGAACCUUGGGCCUGGCUGGCCGGUCCGCCUCACCGCGUGCACUGGUCCGGCCGGGCCUUUCCCUCUGUGGAACCCCAUACCCUUCACUGGGCGUGGCGGGGAAACAGGACAUUUACUUUGAAAAAAUUAGAGUGCUCCAGGCAGGCCUAUGCUCGAAUACAUUAGCAUGGAAUAAUAAAAUAGGACGCGCGGUUCUAUUUUGUUGGUUUAUAGGACCGCCGUAAUGAUUAAUAGGGACAGUCGGGGGCAUCAGUAUUCAACUGUCAGAGGUGAAAUUCUUGGAUCAGUUGAAGACUAACUACUGCGAAAGCAUUUGCCAAGGAUGUUUUCAUUAAACAGGAACGAAAGUUAGGGGAUCGAAAGACGAUCAGAUACCGUCGUAGUCUUAACCAUAAACUAUGCCGACUAGGGGAUCGGGACGGUGUUAUUCAUGACCCGCUCGGCACCUUACGAGAAAUCAAAGUGCUUGGGCUCCAGGGGAGUAUUGUCGCAAGGGUGAUACUUUAAAGAAUUUGAUGGAAGGGCGCACCCGGGGGGGGAGCCUGCGGGUCUAUUUGACUCACACCGGGAAACUCGCCCCGGUCCCGAGCACGAAAAAGAUUGACAGAUUGAGAGCCCUUUCUUGAUUUUUUGCGUGGGGGUGGCGUGGCCGCUCCUCGCCUUGGAUGGGUGGAUUGCUGGCUUUAUUUUAUAAACGAAAAGAAAUGAUUAACUAGCAGAUAACGCCCCUGUGUUUCCACGGGCCGGCGUGAGUUUUUUGAGAAGGAUUUUCCUCUCAGCCCCAACAGAAAUUAUAGAGAAAAUAAAGAGCACUUGUAAGCCCCUUUAAAAUUACUUGGGACGGCCAACAAGACGAUCACCUGUU